UCGUUAGCUCAGUUGGUAGAGCAGCGGACUUUUAAUCCGUUGGUCCCGCGUUCGAGUCGCGGACGA
Molecule: transfer RNA, 66 nt
Filed under: Acinetobacter baumannii
Lineage: Bacteria; Pseudomonadati; Pseudomonadota; Gammaproteobacteria; Moraxellales; Moraxellaceae
Also listed under: 1 other name
Description: tRNA-Lys
Rfam family: tRNA
About the family: Transfer RNA (tRNA) molecules are approximately 80 nucleotides in length. Their secondary structure includes four short double-helical elements and three loops (D, anti-codon, and T loops). Further hydrogen bonds mediate the characteristic L-shaped molecular structure. tRNAs have two regions of fundamental functional importance: the anti-codon, which is responsible for specific mRNA codon recognition, and the 3' end, to which the tRNAs corresponding amino acid is attached (by aminoacyl-tRNA synthetases). tRNAs cope with the degeneracy of the genetic code in two manners: having more than one tRNA (with a specific anti-codon) for a particular amino acid; and 'wobble' base-pairing, i.e. permitting non-standard base-pairing at the 3rd anti-codon position.
Source: RNAcentral